GACGAACCGUGCGAAUGUUGUUCGGAAUCACUGGGCUUAAAGGGAGCGUAGGCGGGCUAUCAAGUCUGGGGUGAAAUGCCACGGCUCAACCGUGGAACUGCCUUAGAUACUGACGGCCUCGAGGGAGAUAGGGGCAUGCGGAACUGUAGGUGGAGCGGUGAAAUGCGUUGAUAUCUACAGGAACUCCGGUGGCGAAAGCGGCGUGCUGGAUCUCUUCUGACGCUGAGGCUCGAAAGCUAGGGGAGCAAACGGG
This 253-nucleotide ribosomal RNA is filed under the name uncultured bacterium. RNAcentral's name for it is "partial 16S ribosomal RNA". It matches the Rfam family "Bacterial small subunit ribosomal RNA", at positions 524 to 776 of the family's 1533-position model. The record is from RNAcentral.